GGCGGACGGGUGAGUAAUGCUUGGGAAUGUGCCUUAUGGUGGGGGACAACAGUUGGAAACGACUGCUAAUACCGCAUAAUGUCUUCGGACCAAAGUGGGGGACCUUCGGGCCUCACGCCAUAAGAUCAGCCCAAGUGGGAUUAGCUAGUUGGUAAGGUAAUGGCUUACCAAGGCGACGAUCCCUAGCUGGUUUGAGAGGAUGAUCAGCCACACUGGGACUGAGACACGGCCCAGACUCCUACGGGAGGCAGCAGUGGGGAAUAUUGCACAAUGGGCGCAAGCCUGAUGCAGCCAUGCCGCGUGUGUGAAGAAGGCCUUCGGGUUGUAAAGCACUUUCAGUAAGGAGGAAAGGUUAAGUGUUAAUAGCACUUAGCUGUGACGUUACUUACAGAAGAAGCACCGGCUAACUCCGUGCCAGCAGCCGCGGUAAUACGGAGGGUGCGAGCGUUAAUCGGAAUUACUGGGCGUAAAGCGUAC
Molecule: ribosomal RNA, 477 nt
Filed under: uncultured Pseudoalteromonas sp.
Lineage: Bacteria; Pseudomonadati; Pseudomonadota; Gammaproteobacteria; Alteromonadales; Pseudoalteromonadaceae
Description: bacterial SSU rRNA
Rfam family: Bacterial small subunit ribosomal RNA
Source: RNAcentral